UCCAACUAUAUUAGGUAGAACAGAAGAUACACAAAGUUUCUAACCAGACCCAAAACAGGAUUGUUUAUCCAAUUAAAUAUUACGUGAUUUUAUGUUCUGCUGCCUUUUUUCUCCUAUAUAAGCUUAAUAUUCUCACCCCGUAACUCAAUUCUCCAACCAUCUCGAUAAUUGUUGUCAAUUUCUUUACCUCAAAGAUUUGAAAUCGUGAUCUACCCGUUGGAUUAGAAGCUGCUGCUAGACAUCAAAAUAUACAAGGGUGUAUGCGUCUGGUGGUAUUCAUAUUUAACUAUGUUUUGGCGAAAGGUUUUCUCUUCUGAUUACCAUGGAUCGUUGAAUUAUAACCAUUUGAUCAUUUUGAUGUUGGCUUGGCUCAAUCAAAUCAAAGUUCUUAGAGAUUCGAUGAGUUCUUUAGUCUGAUUGAGCCGUGCCAAUAUCAGUCAGAUUCAUUUCUAUAUAUGUCUUCCAUUAACAUCUUAAGAAUCCCAGUAACUUUUUGUUGCUUCACAGAAGUUUUUCUGAAAGCAAUACCUUUUCUAUGUAUUCGAACUAACAAUUGACUUAUGCAAAUUUUAU
Vigna radiata var. radiata (mung bean) is the source of this 573-nucleotide long non-coding RNA. RefSeq lists it as uncharacterized. The record is from RefSeq and is a predicted model, not a curated record. Lineage: Eukaryota; Viridiplantae; Streptophyta; Magnoliopsida; Fabales; Fabaceae. The transcript has 2 exons.